UACGUAGGGUGCAAGCGUUAAUCGGAAUUACUGGGCGUAAAGCGUGCGCAGGCGGCUAUGCAAGACAGAUGUGAAAUCCCCGGGCUCAACCUGGGAACUGCAUUUGUGACUGCAUGGCUAGAGUACGGUAGAGGGGGAUGGAAUUCCGCGUGUAGCAGUGAAAUGCGUAGAUAUGCGGAGGAACACCGGAGGCGAAGGCGGCUUGCUGGGCGUGAUCUGACGCUGAGGCGCGAAAGCGUGGGGAGCAAACAGG
This 253-nucleotide ribosomal RNA is filed under the name uncultured bacterium. RNAcentral describes it as "partial 16S ribosomal RNA". It matches the Rfam family "Bacterial small subunit ribosomal RNA", at positions 524 to 776 of the family's 1533-position model. The record is from RNAcentral.